UACGGAGGGUGCGAGCGUUGUCCGGAAUCACUGGGCGUAAAGGGCGCGUAGGCGGCAUGCCAAGCGUGUGGUGAAAGCCCGGCGCUCAACGCCGGGUCGGCCGUGGAUACUCUCGGGCUCGAGCUUACUAGAGGCAGAUGGAAUUCCGGGUGUAGCGGUGGAAUGCGUAGAGAUCCGGAAGAACACCGGUGGCGAAGGCGGUCUGCUGGGGUAAUGCUGACACUGAUGCGCGACAGCGUGGGGAGCAAACAGG
Molecule: ribosomal RNA, 253 nt
Filed under: uncultured bacterium
Lineage: Bacteria
Description: partial 16S ribosomal RNA
Rfam family: Bacterial small subunit ribosomal RNA
Source: RNAcentral